AUUGCAGAAGAGCGGCUUCAGUUUUGGAUCAGCCGCAGUGGGCGGCCACCAACUUCACAUGAUGCUGUGGAUGUUGAGCGAGGCUUGUUGGAGCUCAGGAAGUUGAGCAUAGAGCAACAACUUUGGGAAGCAUCUCGGAAAGAAAUUGAUCAGCCCUCUUCAAACUUUGUUGCCAAUCAUAAACCUAGUGCAGAUUCAGA
Molecule: unclassified non-coding RNA, 200 nt
Filed under: Hevea brasiliensis (rubber tree)
Lineage: Eukaryota; Viridiplantae; Streptophyta; Magnoliopsida; Malpighiales; Euphorbiaceae
Source: RNAcentral